This 448-nucleotide ribosomal RNA is filed under the name uncultured bacterium. Its description in RNAcentral is "partial 16S ribosomal RNA". It matches the Rfam family "Bacterial small subunit ribosomal RNA", at positions 330 to 793 of the family's 1533-position model. The record is from RNAcentral.
CCCAGACUCCUACGGGAGGCAGCAGUGGGGGAUAUUGCACAAUGGGGGGAACCCUGAUGCAGCGACGCCGCGUGGGUGAAGGAGCGUUUCGGCGCGUAAAGCCCUAUCGGCAGGGAAGAAGCAAGACGGUACCUGACUAAGAAGCCCCGGCUAACUACGUGCCAGCAGCCGCGGUAAUACGUAGGGGGCGAGCGUUAUCCGGAUUCACUGGGUGUAAAGGGAGCGUAGACGGCCAAGCAAGCCAGGGGUGAAAGCCCGGGGCCCAACCCCGGGACUGCCCUUGGAACUGCUUGGCUGGAGUGCGGGAGGGGCAGGCGGAAUUCCUGGUGUAGCGGUGAAAUGCGUAGAUAUCAGGAGGAACACCGGCGGCGAAGGCGGCCUGCUGGACCGCGACUGACGUUGAGGCUCGAAAGCGUGGGGAGCGAACAGGAUUAGAUACCCGGGUAUG